GUGUUUUAACUAAUUCUGACCAACUUUAUAAUCCAAAGACCACAAAAAAUUUAUGGGUGCAUGAGCCUACUUUAAAAUACAUACACCGAUUUUUAGCAUUUUGUUUUUCAGGUAGAAAUGACGCAUCAGCUGCUUUAACUAAGACUGAACUGUUCUUUUUGUGGUGCAUGCAUUCGGGUAUUAAAGUUAAUUUAGGAUAUUGGUUUGCACGAAAUUUUCAUGCCGUUUUAAGUUACAACCGUCCACUUAUACUUGGAUCAUUCAUUUCAAAUUUAGCCUCUCGACUUUUUGAGUCUG
This 297-nucleotide long non-coding RNA is filed under the name Gossypium barbadense (sea-island cotton). RNAcentral's name for it is "long non-coding RNA (GBAR_LNC008957)". Lineage: Eukaryota; Viridiplantae; Streptophyta; Magnoliopsida; Malvales; Malvaceae. The record is from RNAcentral.